GGUUUGGUAGUUCAAAUUGGUUUAGAAUACGUGCCUGUCACGCACGAGGUUACGGGUUCAAAUCCCGUCCAAACCG
This 76-nucleotide transfer RNA is filed under the name Candidatus Shikimatogenerans bostrichidophilus. Its description in RNAcentral is "tRNA-Asp". It matches the Rfam family "tRNA". Rfam says of the family: Transfer RNA (tRNA) molecules are approximately 80 nucleotides in length. Their secondary structure includes four short double-helical elements and three loops (D, anti-codon, and T loops). The record is from RNAcentral. Lineage: Bacteria; Pseudomonadati; Bacteroidota; Flavobacteriia; Flavobacteriales.